GCGGCUGUAGCUCAGCUGGAUAGAGUACCUGGCUACGAACCAGGCGGUCAGAGGUUCGAAUCCUCUCAGCCGCACCA
Molecule: transfer RNA, 77 nt
Filed under: Hahellaceae bacterium
Lineage: Bacteria; Pseudomonadati; Pseudomonadota; Gammaproteobacteria; Oceanospirillales; Hahellaceae
Description: tRNA-Arg
Rfam family: tRNA
About the family: Transfer RNA (tRNA) molecules are approximately 80 nucleotides in length. Their secondary structure includes four short double-helical elements and three loops (D, anti-codon, and T loops).
Source: RNAcentral